Molecule: RNA transcript, 1059 nt
Organism: Homo sapiens (human)
Lineage: Eukaryota; Metazoa; Chordata; Mammalia; Primates; Hominidae
Gene: H3P6
Gene name: H3 histone pseudogene 6
Exons: 1
Source: RefSeq, marked provisional
GUUCGCAGCCGCCGCCGCGCCGCCGUCGCUCUCCAACGCCAGCGCCGCCUCUCGCUCGCCGAGCUCCAGCCGAAGGAGAAGGGGGGUAAGUAAGGAGGUCUCUGUACCAUGGCUCGUACAAAGCAGACUGCCCGCAAAUCGACCGGUGGUAAAGCACCCAGGAAGCAACUGGCUACAAAAGCCGCUCGCAAGAGUGCGCCCUCUACUGGAGGGGUGAAGAAACCUCAUCGUUACAGGCCUGGUACUGUGGCGCUCCGUGAAAUUAGACGUUAUCAGAAGUCCACUGAACUUCUGAUUCGCAAACUUCCCUUCCAGCGUCUGGUGCGAGAAAUUGCUCAGGACUUUAAAACAGAUCUGCGCUUCCAGAGCGCAGCUAUCGGUGCUUUGCAGGAGGCAAGUGAGGCCUAUCUGGUUGGCCUUUUUGAAGACACCAACCUGUGUGCUAUCCAUGCCAAACGUGUAACAAUUAUGCCAAAAGACAUCCAGCUAGCACGCCGCAUACGUGGAGAACGUGCUUAAGAAUCCACUAUGAUGGGAAACAUUUCAUUCUCAAAAAAAAAAAAAAAAUUUCUCUUCUUCCUGUUAUUGGUAGUUCUGAACGUUAGAUAUUUUUUUUCCAUGGGGUCAAAAGGUACCUAAGUAUAUGAUUGCGAGUGGAAAAAUAGGGGACAGAAAUCAGGUAUUGGCAGUUUUUCCAUUUUCAUUUGUGUGUGAAUUUUUAAUAUAAAUGCGGAGACGUAAAGCAUUAAUGCAAGUUAAAAUGUUUCAGUGAACAAGUUUCAGCGGUUCAACUUUAUAAUAAUUAUAAAUAAACCUGUUAAAUUUUUCUGGACAAUGCCAGCAUUUGGAUUUUUUUAAAACAAGUAAAUUUCUUAUUGAUGGCAACUAAAUGGUGUUUGUAGCAUUUUUAUCAUACAGUAGAUUCCAUCCAUUCACUAUACUUUUCUAACUGAGUUGUCCUACAUGCAAGUACAUGUUUUUAAUGUUGUCUGUCUUCUGUGCUGUUCCUGUAAGUUUGCUAUUAAAAUACAUUAAACUAUAAAAAAAAAAAAAAGAAAA